CAGUGCCACGGGAAUACGUAGGGUGCGAGCGUUAAUCGGAAUUACUGGGCGUAAAGCGAGCGCAGACGGUUAUUUAAGCAGGAUGUGAAAUCCCCGGGCUUAACCUGAGAACUGCGUUCUGAACUGGAUAGCUAGAGUGUGUCAGAGGGGGGUAGAAUUCCACGUGUAGCAGUGAAAUGCGUAGAGAUGUGGAGGAAUACCGAUGGCGAAGGCAGCCCCCUGGGAUAACACUGACGUUCAUGCUCGAAAGCGUGGGUAGCAAACAGGAUUAGAUACCCCGGUAGUCCCUGUCUCUUAUACA
Molecule: ribosomal RNA, 301 nt
Filed under: uncultured bacterium
Lineage: Bacteria
Description: partial 16S ribosomal RNA
Rfam family: Bacterial small subunit ribosomal RNA
Source: RNAcentral